Molecule: ribosomal RNA, 1364 nt
Filed under: uncultured Pseudomonadota bacterium
Lineage: Bacteria; Pseudomonadati; Pseudomonadota
Description: bacterial SSU rRNA
Rfam family: Bacterial small subunit ribosomal RNA
Source: RNAcentral
GAGUUUGAUCCUGGCUCAGAAUCAACGCUGGCGGCGUGCCUAACACAUGCAAGUCGAACGAGAAAGUGGAGCAAUCCAUGAGUAAAGUGGCGACCGGGUGAGUAACACGUGACUAACCUACCUUCGAGUGGGGGAUAACCUCGGGAAACCGGGGCUAAUACCGCAUAAUAUCUUCGGGAUGAAAAGCCGAAGAUCAAAGGAGCAAUUCGCUGGAAGAGGGAGCUGCGGCUGAUUAGCUAGUUGGCGGGGUAAUGGCCCACCAAGGCUUUGAUCGGUAGCCGGCCUGAGAGGGCGCACGGCCACACUGGAACUGAAACACGGUCCAGACUCCUACGGGAGGCAGCAGUGGGGAAUUUUGCGCAAUGGGGGAAACCCUGACGCAGCAACGCCGCGUGGAGGAUGAAGUCCCUUGGGACGUAAACUCCUUUCGACCCGGACGAUAAUGACGGUACGGGUGGAAGAAGCCCCGGCUAACUUCGUGCCAGCAGCCGCGGUAAUACGAAGGGGGCUAGCGUUGCUCGGAAUUACUGGGCGUAAAGCGCACGUAGGCGGCUUCUUAAGUCGGUGGUGAAAUCCUGGAGCUCAACUCCAGAACUGCCUUCGAUACUGGGAAGCUCGAGUCCGGGAGAGGUGAGUGGAACUGCGAGUGUAGAGGUGAAAUUCGUAGAUAUUCGCAAGAACACCAGUGGCGAAGGCGGCUCACUGGCCCGGUACUGACGCUGAGGUGCGAAAGCGUGGGGAGCAAACAGGAUUAGAUACCCCGGUAGUCCACGCCGUAAACGAUGGGCACUUGGUGUCGCGGGUAUCGACCCCUGCGGUGCCGAAGCUAACGCAUUAAGUGCCCCGCCUGGGGAGUGCGGUCACAAGGCUGAAACUCAAAGGAAUUGACGGGGGCCCGCACAAGCGGUGGAGCAUGUGGUUCAAUUCGAAGCAACGCGAAGAACCUUACCUGGGUUUGAAGAUCAGUUGACCGGGGGCGAAAUCUCCCUUUCCCGCAAGGGACAGCUGGUUAGGUGCUGCAUGGCUGUCGUCGGCUCGUGUCGUGAGAUGUUGGGUUAAGUCCCGCAACGAGCGCAACCCCUGCUGCUAGUUGCCAACGGUUCGGCCGGGCACUCUAGUGGGACUGCCGGUGAUAAACCGGAGGAAGGUGGGGAUGACGUCAAGUCCUCAUGGCCUUUAUGGGCUGGGCUACACACGUGCUACAAUGGCGGUGACAGAGGGAGGCUAAGGGGCGACCCUGCGCCAAUCUCGAAAAGCCGUCUCAGUUCGGAUUGUUCUCUGCAACUCGAGAGCAUGAAGCUGGAAUCGCUAGUAAUCGCGGAUCAGCACGCCGCGGUGAAUACGUUCCCGGGCCUUGCACACAC